Molecule: long non-coding RNA, 2063 nt
Filed under: Carica papaya (papaya)
Lineage: Eukaryota; Viridiplantae; Streptophyta; Magnoliopsida; Brassicales; Caricaceae
Description: long non-coding RNA (CPAP_LNC004421)
Source: RNAcentral
AAAAGAGAAGGAGUCUCAUCUCAAUCAAUCCAAAUAUCAUGGACCAAAAAAUGAAAUCUUUUGCAAAUUCACCAAAUUGGACUCAAACACACAUGUUUAACUAAUUCCAGGAGUCAUUAUUUAGCUGCUUGCUGCAAGGACUAUUUGCUCACGCAAGUACUCAAAACACAAAAAAAAUCCACUACGCAGCAAAGUGUUCACAUAUGAUAGUCCUACAUACAAUUAGAUGAUUGCCGCAAAUUAUGCACAAUCACACAAUAACAAAUUAGAAAGCAUCUCUUUCGUGCAAAUCUUCCAAAAUUGCAGGCAAGUUACAGAAAGAUUUUCAUCAUGGCAUCAAAAGCUGAGAGAAUUGUUAUUCCAUAAAACACAAGUUUUCAUGUAAAGGGAGGGGUCAGAUGACUUAGUUCUAUGACCAAGACAUCUCACGGAACAAGUGUAAUAAAGGCAUUUGACGGAUAUUAAACUGUAACUUUCCUAGUACUGAUUCAAAGGGGGAGAUUUCUUAAAAUUAUUUGCAUGGAUUCUGAACAGAAUUAUGCUAAUUUUAUUCUAACACUCUUUCUCCAAACCAUCUAUGCUCUUUUGGACGGAAAAAAAAAGGUAUGACAUCUGUGAAACAAGAUGGAAGAUAAGUUUUCCAAGUUGUAUACGUUAAACACCAUUUUGGGAUUGGAAACACACAAUGGCAAAUAGUAGCAUUACUUGUAAAAGUUAAUAGCAGAAAAUCUCUAAAGCAACAUCCAUGCAUCUCUCUGAAUCUCCAAGAGGAAGAAACUACUUGAAAAGUAGUGAGAAACAAACGAACUGUUGAUUAGUGUAAAACUUAUUUCCUUUUUAAUGUAUUAAAGAGUAUAACUUCAGUAAGAAAUAACAAAAUCCAAAACGUUUCAAUCAUAAACAAAUAUUUUUGGGAAUGUGGAAACCAUAUGUAAGCCACAGAGAUGUCUGAAAAACAACUAUCAUUAUUUCCACCAGCAACAUGACACUUAUCAACUAUCAUUUUCAUGUACUCCUGAGUCACUCAAGAGCCUUUCUUUGGUACCUAUGCAUAAAUGUCUUCAAUUGCUUUGGGCGGAUAAGUGAGGAUGCAAAGAAAAAUGAAUAAUUUUUCUCUUUCCCGUUGGUUUAUUAUAUAAAUUUGACGCCAUAUGUUAACUAUCAAUCAAAACAAGAAUCCUCGGUUAAUGUUUAGUUGAUUAGUAACACCAUAUGAAGAAAACAUAUGACAUCAUUAGUUGGUUGGAACACAAAAUCUACAGAAUAAACUGCGGAAUUACUUUCAAACAAUAAAGAAAUUUCAGAAACAUCCGCAAUUAAGCUAACAACCUUAGCUAUCAGUCCUCUUAAACAAGAAUUAAAAUAUACCAUCCUAAAAUUUAAUUAAAACUUAGCACCAAACAAGAUCUAGACUGAGAAGGCCAAAAAAAGAGGAGCCAGUUAAACUUAUACACACAAUUUAGAAGAAUCAAUUACCUCAACAGUCCAAAUGAAAAAAUCGAGAGGCUCCGGUGUUUGUUCUUUACUCAUCUCCUCUUCGACCAAAAUUCCCACACAAAUCACCUAACAUUUACAAAGCCAAACACAAACCUCAGCCACAUAAGUUGAAAUCAAACCCUGACGAAGACAACCAUUUCAAUUAACAAAAGCAAGAGAACGUGGGGAAAAAGGAAGAAAUCAGUUUGAUUCCCGGGAAACAAAAGGGGGAAAAGAAAACGAGAAUUUUGAGAAGGAAGGUCUGUGUGAGGGUGACAGUUGUGAGAUCCCAAUUCAUGAUUGGCUUUUGUUUACUCAUUUUUAAUUAUAUUUUUAAAAUAAUUUUUUUUUUCUCGGGAAGCAAACGAAAGAUAUAAGAUAGAGAAAGAGAUGAGUGAACAUACCCCUUAUGACAAAAAGUGUAGAAGUUAGGGUUUGAUUUUCGACAUUUGACAGAUGAGGGGUUAGGGAGAAGGAAAGCGAGAAACGCAGGCGGGGAGAAAUGAAAUAAAAAAGGAGAAACGAAAGCGAGUGGGGAGGAGAGUAGGGAGUUCGUAAGUUGUAAGACACACUUUUUUGUGUGUCUU